RNAcentral lists this ribosomal RNA (384 nucleotides) under uncultured Glomeromycotina. RNAcentral's name for it is "SSU rRNA". It matches the Rfam family "Eukaryotic small subunit ribosomal RNA", at positions 569 to 959 of the family's 1831-position model. Lineage: Eukaryota; Fungi; Glomeromycota. The record is from RNAcentral.
AGCAGCCGCGGUAAUUCCAGCUCCAGUAGCGUAUAUUAAAGUUGUUGCAGUUAAAAAGCUCGUAGUUGAAUUUCGGGGUCAGUAGGCUGGUCAUGCCACAGGUAUGCACUGGUCUCACUGACUCCUCCUUCCUGAUGAACCGUAAUGCCAUUAAUUUGGUGUUGCGGGGAAUCUGGACUGUUACUUUGAAAAAUUAGAGUGUUUAAAGCAGGCUAACGCUUGAAUACAUUAGCAUGGAAUAAUGAAAUAGGACGUUCGAUCCUAUUUUGUUGGUUUCUAGGAUUGGCGUAAUGAUUAAUAGGGAUAGUUGGGGCAUUAGUAUUCAAUUGUCAGAGGUGAAAUUCUUGGAUUUAUUGAAGACUAACUACUGCGAAAGCAUUUGCC